GUGGGGAAUAUUGCGCAAUGGGGGAAACCCUGACGCAGCGACGCCGCGUGAGCGAAGAAGGCCUUAGGGUUGUAAAGCUCUGUUUUAAGGGACGAAUGUCGUGGGGAGUAAUAUGCUCUGCGAAUGACGGUACCUUAAGAGGAAGCCCCGGCUAACUACGUGCCAGCAGCCGCGGUAAGACGUAGGGGGCGAGCGUUGUCCGGAAUUACUGGGCGUAAAGAGCACGUAGGCGGGAACUUAAGUCAGGUGUGAAAGACCGGGGCUCAACUCCGGGGUUGCACUUGAAACUGGGUUUCUUGAGGGCAGGAGAGGAAAGCAGAAUUCCUGGUGUAGCGGUGAAAUGCGUAGAAAUCAGGAGGAAUACCAGUGGCGAAGGCGGCUUUCUGGACUGACCCUGACGCUGAGGUGCGAAAGCGUGGGUAGCAAACAGGAUUAGAAACCCUAGUAGUCC
Molecule: ribosomal RNA, 451 nt
Filed under: uncultured bacterium
Lineage: Bacteria
Description: partial 16S ribosomal RNA
Rfam family: Bacterial small subunit ribosomal RNA
Source: RNAcentral